This is a non-coding RNA of Physcomitrium patens, 1916 nucleotides long. NCBI's taxonomy places the organism in Eukaryota, Viridiplantae, Streptophyta, Bryopsida, Funariales, Funariaceae. The record is from RefSeq and is a predicted model, not a curated record.
GAAAGCUCGGCUGGAGCAGCGUGGGACCUGCGAUCCGUGAACUCACCAUCUCACGCUCCCCCCGCUUGAUUCUGCCUUGUGGGUUUUGUUCCUGCGGCGUAUGUCCCCUUGUGCCCCGGGCUUUGGUGGCGUUGGAGCCAUGGCAGUGUCGAUGCUGCGGAUGCGCCACAGCUCGAUGGGGGACAACGAAGGGAGGGAUGGCGUGAGGCUGUCUGCUCGGAAUCCCAAUGGAGCCUCACCUGCUCUGUACCAGUUCAACCAGGCCAAUUCGCCUGCACGAGCUGGCUACUUCGGAGGUGACAGUAGGAGAGGGAGGAAAAGAAGAGGCACGGGGAACAUGUCUGCGCAAAAAUCUCUGCUUUACGUAGCCAACUCUGUUGUUGAGCCUCAGAAGCCCAUCAAUUUCUUGCGUGUCUUGGUUGAAGGAGCAAUAGCUGGAGCCACAGCAGGGGUUGUAGUUGAGACAGCACUUUAUCCAAUUGACACCAUUAAGACUCGUCUACAGGCUGCGAGAUCUGGCGGGAAGAUAGUGUUUAAAGGAUUAUACUCAGGUCUAGCAGGCAACCUCGCUGGUGUUUUACCGGCAUCAGCCAUUUUCGUGGGUGUCUAUGAACCGAUGAAAAGGAAGUUGUUGGAUAUCUUUCCAGACCACCUCAGCUCUGUUGCACACUUGACAGCAGGGGCUGCUGGAGGUGCCACUGCGUCACUGAUACGCGUCCCAACAGAGGUUGUGAAACAGAGAAUGCAGACAGGUCAGUUCCCAUCAGCACACUCAGCAGUCAGGCAGAUUUUGGCCAAAGAGGGUGUGCGUGGUCUAUAUGCGGGUUUUGGAUCUUUCCUCCUUCGAGAUUUACCAUUUGAUGCUAUCCAGUUUUGCAUUUACGAGCAGCUUAGAUUGGGCUUGAAGAAAGUGGUGAACAGGGAUCUUCUAGAUCUGGAGACAGCUCUUGUAGGAGCAACCUCUGGUACAGACUCGCAUUCGAAAGACGUUUCUACUGUUGUAAUUCUUGCGUUCUGGUCAUGUGUCUAAGAUUGAUCUACACAUUACGACGAGGAGGUUGUUCAUAUGUGAAGCUCUCUUGCCCUUUAUAUAGUCGGUAGUUGAGGUUGACUCGAAGUCAUCUCAAGUGGCACCUGAAUAACCGACGGUGAAGUUACCACGUCUUUAAAACUUCAACCUUAUGCUGGUGCUAUUACUGGUGCAGUGACUACGCCACUUGAUGUUAUUAAGACCCGACUUAUGACCCAGGGCGCAAAGGGACAUUACAAAGGUAUAGGUGAUUGUGUAUCCAAGAUUAUUCAGGAGGAGGGUGCGGGUGCACUACUUAAGGGGAUAGGACCAAGGGUGAUGUGGAUUGGUAUCGGGGGUUCCAUAUUUUUUGCUGUGCUGGAGAGAACCAAGCAGUUACUUGCAGCUCGAGUACUUCCAGAGGAUUUGAAAGAUGCAAGACUCGCUUGAAGAGUCGUCGCUUGUAAAAGCUUUUGUUCACCUGCUCUCAAUGGUUCAAAGAUUUUUUUUUCCUGUCAUGUAAUCGUCUCUCCCCCUAAACGUUGGUUUAGGCCUCCGAAAAUUCCCCAAUCAUGUGCCUUCUGCUAAGACGCGAGUGUACGUGUGCUCUAAACACUGGGUCAUGUGACUUAACUGUGUCCAGAAUUGAUACGUGUAAGCUCACUAGGGUUCAUACUUAGCAUCACAAAUUCUUUUUGUAAAUGUAAGGAUUCUGGGCACGGUAUCGGACAUGGCAACAAGUUUGAUGAGAUGUUUCACGAGUCCUGCAAAGUGAGCUUAUUGGACUCUUCAGGUACUUUACUGUAAUAAGUAGUCGAUCGAUUUCUGUGUUCGCAGACACAUCACCAGCAAGGCAGUGUCUCUUUCUUUGAAAUUGACGUCAGUAUAGCCGGCCCAGAGUUCAUUU